Molecule: ribosomal RNA, 301 nt
Filed under: uncultured bacterium
Lineage: Bacteria
Description: partial 16S ribosomal RNA
Rfam family: Bacterial small subunit ribosomal RNA
Source: RNAcentral
CAGCCGCCGCGGGAAUACGGAGGGAGCUAGCGUUAUUCGGAAUUACUGGGCGUAAAGCGCACGUAGGCGGCUUUGUAAGUUAGAGGUGAAAGCCUGGUGCUCAACACCAGAACUGCCUUUGAUACUGCAUCGCUUGAAUCCAGGAGAGGUGAGUGGAAUUCCGAGUGUAGAGGUGAAAUUCGUAGAUAUUCGGAAAAACACCAGUGGCGAAGGCGGCUCACUGGACUGGUAUCGACGCUGAGGUGCGAAAGCGUGGGGAGCAAACAGGAUUAGAUACCCCCGUAGUCCCUGUCUCUUAUAC